GCAUUGGUGGUUCAGUGGUAGAAUUCUCACCUGCCAUGCGGGAGACCCGGGUCCGAUUCUUGGCCAAUGCA
Non-coding RNA from Danio rerio (zebrafish), 71 nucleotides. The record is from Rfam. Lineage: Eukaryota; Metazoa; Chordata; Actinopteri; Cypriniformes; Danionidae.